RNAcentral lists this ribosomal RNA (456 nucleotides) under Salmonella enterica subsp. houtenae. RNAcentral's name for it is "partial 23S ribosomal RNA". It matches the Rfam family "Bacterial large subunit ribosomal RNA", at positions 161 to 642 of the family's 2925-position model. The record is from RNAcentral. Lineage: Bacteria; Pseudomonadati; Pseudomonadota; Gammaproteobacteria; Enterobacterales; Enterobacteriaceae.
AAUCCAUAGGUUAAUGAGGCGAACCGGGGGAACUGAAACAUCUAAGUACCCCGAGGAAAAGAAAUCAACCGAGAUUCCCCCAGUAGCGGCGAGCGAACGGGGAGGAGCCCAGAGCCUGAAUCAGCAUGUGUGUUAGUGGAAGCGUCUGGAAAGGCGCGCGAUACAGGGUGAGAGCCCCGUACACAAAAGCGCACGUGCUGUGAGCUCGAUGAGUAGGGCGGGACACGUGGUAUCCUGUCUGAAUAUGGGGGGACCAUCCUCCAAGGCUAAAUACUCCUGACUGACCGAUAGUGAACCAGUACCGUGAGGGAAAGGCGAAAAGAACCCCGGCGAGGGGAGUGAAACAGAACCUGAAACCGUGUACGUACAAGCAGUGGGAGCCCCACCACUAAGCCAGUGGUGAACUCCACAUACGCAUCCUUUGCUGAGGAUACGGUUAACGGAGCGAAAGCGACG